GACGAACGCUGGCGGCGUGCUUAACACAUGCAAGUCGAACGGAAAGGCCCUGCUUUUUUGGGGUGCUCGAGUGGCGAACGGGUGAGUAACACGUGAGUAACCUGCCCUUGACUUUGGGAUAACUUCAGGAAACUGGGGCUACUCCCGGAUAGCAGCUCCUGCUGCAUGGUGGGGGUUGGAAAGUUUCGGCGGUUGGGGAUGGACUCGCGGCUUAUCAGCUUGUUGGUGGGGUAGUGGCUUACCAAGGCUUUGACGGGUAGCCGGCCUGAGAGGGUGACCGGCGACAUGGGGACUGAGGUACGGAGCAGACUCCUACGGGAGGCAGCAGGGGGGAGUAUGGCACAAUGGGCGGAAGUGGGAGGCAGCAACGCCGGGGGCGGGAAGACGGCCUGCGGGUUGUAAACAGCUGUAGGCUGAGACGAAGCGGGAGUGACGGUAAUGGGGAAAGAAGCACCGGCUAACUACGU
This 467-nucleotide ribosomal RNA is filed under the name uncultured bacterium. Its description in RNAcentral is "partial 16S ribosomal RNA". It matches the Rfam family "Bacterial small subunit ribosomal RNA", at positions 28 to 506 of the family's 1533-position model. The record is from RNAcentral.